Molecule: ribosomal RNA, 253 nt
Filed under: uncultured bacterium
Lineage: Bacteria
Description: partial 16S ribosomal RNA
Rfam family: Bacterial small subunit ribosomal RNA
Source: RNAcentral
UACGUAGGGGGCUAGCGUUGUCCGGAAUCAUUGGGCGUAAAGAGCGUGUAGGCGGCCCGGUAAGUCCGCUGUGAAAGUCGGGGGCUCAACCCUCGAAAGCCGGUGGAUACUGUCGGGCUAGAGUGCGGAAGAGGCGAGUGGAAUUCCUGGUGUAGCGGUGAAAUGCGCAGAUAUCAGGAGGAACACCGAUUGCGAAGGCAGCUCGCUGGGACGGUACUGACGCUAAGGCGCGAAAGCGUGGGGAGCGAACAGG